UAGUUUGAUUAGUGGCUACAGAACGAACGCUGGCGGCGCGUUUUAAGCAUGCAAGUCGAGCGGCAAGGGCCUUCGGGCCCCUAGAGCGGCGGACGGGUGAGUAACACGUGGACAAUCUGCCCCCCGGCCCGGGAUAGCCCAGGGAAACCUGGAUUAAUACCGGAUGAGACGGGACCCGCGAUGGCGGGAUCCGGGAAAGGCGCUGCGGCGCCGCCGGGGGAUGAGUCUGCGUCCCAUUAGCUAGACGGCGGGGUAACGGCCCACCGUGGCGACGAUGGGUAGCCGGCCUGAGAGGGUGGACGGCCACAUUGGAACUGAGACACGGUCCAGACUCCUACGGGAGGCAGCAGCUAAGAAUCUUCCGCAAUGGGCGAAAGUUCCUGACGGAGCGACGCCCGCGUGAACGAAGAAGGCCGUGAGGUUGUAAAGUUCUUUUCGGGAGGGGGAACAACCGUGGCAGGGAAUGGCCGCGGGAUGACGUGAAUCCCGGAAUAAGCCCCGGCUAACUACGUGCCAGCAGCGGC
This 524-nucleotide ribosomal RNA is filed under the name uncultured bacterium. RNAcentral describes it as "bacterial SSU rRNA". It matches the Rfam family "Bacterial small subunit ribosomal RNA", at positions 1 to 518 of the family's 1533-position model. The record is from RNAcentral.